RNAcentral lists this ribosomal RNA (250 nucleotides) under uncultured bacterium. RNAcentral's name for it is "partial 16S ribosomal RNA". It matches the Rfam family "Bacterial small subunit ribosomal RNA", at positions 83 to 334 of the family's 1533-position model. The record is from RNAcentral.
UACUGAUGGCGACCGGCGUACGGGUGAGUAACACGUAUCCAACCUGCCGAUAACUCGGGGAUAGCCUUUCGAAAGAAAGAUUAAUACCCGAUGGUAUAAUCAGACCGCAUGGUUUGAUUAUUAAAGAAUUUCGGUUAUCGAUGGGGAUGCGUUCCAUUAGGCAGUUGGUGAGGUAACGGCUCACCAAACCUUCGAUGGAUAGGGGUUCUGAGAGGAAGGUCCCCCACAUUGGAACUGAGACACGGUCCAA